RNAcentral lists this ribosomal RNA (866 nucleotides) under Klebsiella pneumoniae. Its description in RNAcentral is "partial 23S ribosomal RNA". It matches the Rfam family "Bacterial large subunit ribosomal RNA", at positions 2065 to 2925 of the family's 2925-position model. The record is from RNAcentral. Lineage: Bacteria; Pseudomonadati; Pseudomonadota; Gammaproteobacteria; Enterobacterales; Enterobacteriaceae.
UGUACCCGCGGCAAGACGGAAAGACCCCGUGAACCUUUACUAUAGCUUGACACUGAACAUUGAGCCUUGAUGUGUAGGAUAGGUGGGAGGCUUUGAAGCGUGGACGCCAGUCUGCGUGGAGCCAACCUUGAAAUACCACCCUUUAAUGUUUGAUGUUCUAACGUUGGCCCCUGACCGGGGUUGCGGACAGUGUCUGGUGGGUAGUUUGACUGGGGCGGUCUCCUCCCAAAGCGUAACGGAGGAGCACGAAGGUUAGCUAAUCCUGGUCGGACAUCAGGAGGUUAGUGCAAUGGCAUAAGCUAGCUUGACUGCGAGCGUGACGGCGCGAGCAGGUGCGAAAGCAGGUCAUAGUGAUCCGGUGGUUCUGAAUGGAAGGGCCAUCGCUCAACGGAUAAAAGGUACUCCGGGGAUAACAGGCUGAUACCGCCCAAGAGUUCAUAUCGACGGCGGUGUUUGGCACCUCGAUGUCGGCUCAUCACAUCCUGGGGCUGAAGUAGGUCCCAAGGGUAUGGCUGUUCGCCAUUUAAAGUGGUACGCGAGCUGGGUUUAGAACGUCGUGAGACAGUUCGGUCCCUAUCUGCCGUGGGCGCUGGAGAAUUGAGGGGGGCUGCUCCUAGUACGAGAGGACCGGAGUGGACGCAUCACUGGUGUUCGGGUUGUCAUGCCAAUGGCACUGCCCGGUAGCUAAAUGCGGAAGAGAUAAGUGCUGAAAGCAUCUAAGCACGAAACUUGCCCCGAGAUGAGUUCUCCCUGAGACUUUAAGUCUCCUGAAGGAACGUUAAAGACGAUGACGUUGAUAGGCCGGGUGUGUAAGCGCAGCGAUGCGUUGAGCUAACCGGUACUAAUGAACCGUGAGGCUUAACCUU